GAAUCUGCUACAAUGCAGGAGACCGGGUUCAACCCCUGGGUUGGGAAGAAUCCCUGGAGAAGAGAAUGGCUGGCUACCCACUCCAGUGUUCUUGUCUGGGAAAUCCCAUGGCAGAGGAGUCUGCUGGUGGACUACAGUCCAUGGGGUCACAGAAUUAGACUCGACUGAGUUUCCAGAAAGGAGGCAGAUCCUUCUAAUCCUGCACAUCCCAGUUAUACCCUCAAACCAGAACACAUUUGCUCCUGGAAGAUGUUGUUUUAUUGAUAUUUAUGAAAUGAGAUGUUGAAGGAGGGGAGGAGCAGGUCCAAAGGAAUGUAGCAGGCCAGACAGAAAUGUCUCAAGGCAAGAAUACCAGAGCCGAUUGCCAUUUCCUACUCCAGGGGAUCUUCCCAACCCAGGGAUCAUACCCGUGUCUCCUGAGUCUCCUGUAUUGGCUGAUGGAUUCUUUACCGCUGUGCCAUCUGGGAAGGCAAUUUUUUGUUGUUGUUGUUGAGGGG
Molecule: long non-coding RNA, 497 nt
Organism: Bos taurus (domestic cattle)
Lineage: Eukaryota; Metazoa; Chordata; Mammalia; Artiodactyla; Bovidae
Source: Ensembl